GUCUACAGCCAUACCACCCUGAAUGCAUCCAAUCUCAUCUGAUCUCAGAAGCUAACAGGGUCAGGCCUGGUUAGUAUUCCGAUGGCAAGAGUCAUGUUCA
Ribosomal RNA from Cercocebus atys (sooty mangabey), 100 nucleotides. The record is from Ensembl. Lineage: Eukaryota; Metazoa; Chordata; Mammalia; Primates; Cercopithecidae.